RNAcentral lists this transfer RNA (69 nucleotides) under Cyanoderma ruficeps (rufous-capped babbler). RNAcentral describes it as "tRNA-Arg". The record is from RNAcentral. Lineage: Eukaryota; Metazoa; Chordata; Aves; Passeriformes; Timaliidae.
AGAAAGUUAGUCUAAUCAAGACAGUUGAUUUCGACUCAACAGAUUAUAGCCUCCACCUAUAACUUUCUU